This 412-nucleotide ribosomal RNA is filed under the name uncultured bacterium. RNAcentral's name for it is "bacterial SSU rRNA". It matches the Rfam family "Bacterial small subunit ribosomal RNA", at positions 28 to 433 of the family's 1533-position model. The record is from RNAcentral.
GAUGAACGCUAGCGGCAGGCUUAAUACAUGCAAGUCGUGGGGCAGCAUGAGUAGCAAUACUUGAUGGCGACCGGCAAACGGGUGAGGAACACGUACACAACCUUCCUUCAAGCGGGGAAUAGCCCAGAGAAAUUUGGAUUAAUACCCCAUAAUAUAUUUGAUAAGGCAUCUUAUUAAAUAUUAAAGCUUCGGCACUUGAUGAUGGGUGUGCGGCUGAUUAGAUAGUUGGCGGGGUAACGGCCCACCAAGUCUACGAUCAGUAGCUGAUGUGAGAGCAUGAUCAGCCACACGGGCACUGAGACACGGGCCCGACUCCUACGGGAGGCAGCAGUAAGGAAUAUUGGACAAUGGACGAAAGUACUGAUCCAGCCAUGCCGCGUGAAGGAUUAAGGUCCUCUGGAUUGUAAACUUC